This 467-nucleotide ribosomal RNA is filed under the name uncultured bacterium. RNAcentral describes it as "bacterial SSU rRNA". It matches the Rfam family "Bacterial small subunit ribosomal RNA", at positions 917 to 1382 of the family's 1533-position model. The record is from RNAcentral.
GGGCCCGCACAAGCGGAGGAACAUGUGGUUUAAUUCGAUGAUACGCGAGGAACCUUACCCGGGCUUAAAUGUAGAUUGCAUAAUUUAGAGAUAAAUUUUUCCCUCAAAAGACUAUCUACAAGGUGCUGCAUGGUUGUCGUCAGCUCGUGCCGUGAGGUGUCGGGUUAAGUCCCAUAACGAGCGCAACCCCUGCUACCAGUUACCAGCAUGUAAUGAUGGGGACUCUGGUAGGACCGCCGCCGUAAGGCGAGAGGAAGGUGGGGAUGACGUCAAAUCAGCACGGCCCUUACGUCCGGGGCGACACACGUGUUACAAUGGCCGGCACAGAGGGCUGCUACACAGCGAUGUGAUGCUAAUCUCAAAAACCGGUCGUAGUUCGGAUUGGAGUCUGAAACUCGACUCCAUGAAGCUGGAUUCGCUAGUAAUCGCAUAUCAGCCAUGAUGCGGUGAAUACGUUCCCGGGCCUU